UGCAAUGUUUAAAACACAUAAAAAUGUGAAGUGAUGGACAUGAUACAAAAAAUAAAUAUUUGUAUCAUGUUUGAAAUAGGAAAUGGUCCAUGAUUGGAAACCUCAGUGUGUGUAGUGUGUUCCACAAAUCCAAAAGAGUCCCCCCAAUUAACUUUAGCAGAACAGUGUAUAAAUACGUGCAUAUACAUAAAUCAACCUCGUGUGAAAAUUCGCAAAAUUAAAAGGGGCGUUUCCACAAAAAUGUUACAAAAUCUGAUGUACUCGCUGGUAUCGUUUUAAACCUAGUUGUUUGUUAAUUAAAAAAAAAAUAAAAAUAACAUAUAUCUCUCAAAGAUGGAUAAAACGGAUGAAGAUGAAUCAAAUAAAUUUAGUUUACUGGCUAUUGUAUUGGACACUAAUCCAUCCCAACGAAUGGUGCGACAAAAACCUGGUUGAACAUGCCCACAUAGCAGUACCAUAAGGGUCAGUUUAGAUCCGGAACAUCAGGACAUGAGCGCUUGUUUCUGGAGCUUCGAAUUUCUAAAUUGGUGUCGAAUUUGCUAAAAGCUGCUGUAUGUUUGUAAUUGCUGCAGGUUUUGAAUCCUUGAACUGCUCCUGUGCUUAACGUCAC
This is a long non-coding RNA of Rhagoletis pomonella (apple maggot), 610 nucleotides long. RefSeq lists it as uncharacterized. The transcript has 3 exons. The record is from RefSeq and is a predicted model, not a curated record. Lineage: Eukaryota; Metazoa; Arthropoda; Insecta; Diptera; Tephritidae.